Molecule: ribosomal RNA, 253 nt
Filed under: uncultured bacterium
Lineage: Bacteria
Description: partial 16S ribosomal RNA
Rfam family: Bacterial small subunit ribosomal RNA
Source: RNAcentral
UACGUAGGGUGCAAGCGUUGUCCGGAAUUAUUGGGCGUAAAGAGCUCGUAGGCGGCUUGUCACGUCGGAUGUGAAAUCCCGAGGCUCAACCUCGGGCCUGCAUUCGAUACGGGCUAGCUAGAGUACUGCAGGGGAGACUGGAAUUCCUGGUGUAGCGGUGAAAUGCGCAGAUAUCAGGAGGAACACCGGUGGCGAAGGCGGGUCUCUGGGCAGUAACUGACGCUGAGGAGCGAAAGCGUGGGGAGCAAACAGG